Molecule: ribosomal RNA, 497 nt
Filed under: uncultured bacterium
Lineage: Bacteria
Description: partial 16S ribosomal RNA
Rfam family: Bacterial small subunit ribosomal RNA
Source: RNAcentral
GAUGAACGCUGGCGGCGUGCCUAAUACAUGCCAGUCGAGCGAACGGACGAGAAGCUUGCUUCUCUGAUGUUAGCGGCGGACGGGUGAGUAACACGUGGAUAACCUACCUAUAAGACUGGGAUAACUUCGGGAAACCGUAGCUAAUACCGGAUAAUAUUUUGAACCGCAUGGUUCAAAAGUGAAAGACGGUCUUGCUGUCACUUAUAGAUGGAUCCGCGCUGCAUUAGCUAGUUGGUAAGGUAACGGCUUACCAAGGCAACGAUGCAUAGCCGACCUGAGAGGGUGAUCGGCCACACUGGAACUGAGACACGGUCCAGACUCCUACGGGAGGCAGCAGUAGGGAAUCUUCCGCAAUCGGCGAAAGCCUGGCGGAGCAACGCCGCGUGAGUGAUGAAGGUCUUCGGAUCGUAAAACUCUGUUAUUAGGGAAGAACAUAUGUGUAAGUAACUGUGCACAUCUUGACGGUACCUAAUCAGAAAGCCACGGCUAACUACGUG